GUGCUCACUUCAGCAGCACAUAUACUAAAAUUGGAACGAAACAGAGAAGAUUAGCAUGGCCCCUGCACAAGGAUGACAGGAGGAUUCCUGAGGCAUUCCAUAUUUCU
Molecule: small nuclear RNA, 107 nt
Organism: Dipodomys ordii (Ord's kangaroo rat)
Lineage: Eukaryota; Metazoa; Chordata; Mammalia; Rodentia; Heteromyidae
Source: Ensembl